UACGAGGGGGGCUAGCGUUGUUCGGAAUUACUGGGCGUAAAGCGCACGUAGGCGGAUUGUUAAGUUAGGGGUGAAAUCCCAGGGCUCAACCCUGGAACUGCCUUUAAUACUGGCAAUCUCGAGUCCGAGAGAGGUGAGUGGAAUUCCGAGUGUAGAGGUGAAAUUCGUAGAUAUUCGGAGGAACACCAGUGGCGAAGGCGGCUCACUGGCUCGGUACUGACGCUGAGGUGCGAAAGCGUGGGGAGCAAACAGG
RNAcentral lists this ribosomal RNA (253 nucleotides) under uncultured bacterium. Its description in RNAcentral is "partial 16S ribosomal RNA". It matches the Rfam family "Bacterial small subunit ribosomal RNA", at positions 524 to 776 of the family's 1533-position model. The record is from RNAcentral.